RNAcentral lists this long non-coding RNA (1212 nucleotides) under Crocodylus porosus (Australian saltwater crocodile). RNAcentral describes it as "lncRNA (ENSCPRG00005006751.1)". The record is from RNAcentral. Lineage: Eukaryota; Metazoa; Chordata; Crocodylia; Crocodylidae.
AUGACAACAGGGGGAUAUUUAGAGGAUAUUUUUCUAAGACACAAAUAUUACUAUUUUUAUGGAGUUAGUGAUGAUGCCAGUACUACCUUGGAAAAUUCCCUAGCUCGCCUUUCCACUUUGGAAAAUCUCUCCAAUUCUCUGUAUCUGUGGCCAGGAUCAAAAGGAAUUUUCAAUCAGUUGUUCUGGAGGGUCAUUUCCUUGGAAGCAAACAGCACUUUCUUAUGUAUUAAUAAACUACCUCUGUAUGCUCUGGAAGGAAACAAUUUUAGAAGUAUCUACCGAACAAAGAAGAAACAAUGAACCUCAGUUGCCCCAGCAUAGUUGUGAGGUUGCUGUUACUUUGGAGCAUUCGCCUUAAUGACCAAAAGAGCUUCUAACUUGGGAGACAUUUUGGUCAAAGCAGAACUCGGAGUGUAGAGAACUUCAGCUGUGAAGGGAAACGUGUAUGGCACGAUUCUGAAUGGUUGCACGGCAGCUCUUCUUAGGAGUUCUGGAGGGUAUAAUGCCUCUUGCGACUCUAUUCGGAAUGACAUUGUUUUGCACAGCCCAGCACUCAGAGCUGUGCCUUAAAAUGCAAAACAUGGCAUUAUUAUGAAUGUUUUCUCAUCUCUUUGUUCUCCUUCCGUCUCAUUGCCCUGAAGCGAGUGGUUUUGUUUCAUUUCUUAUAUUCUGCACUAAUAUCAUUGGAUUAUUGCCACUGUGGGAUUUAGUAGUCAGCUCAAGCUGAACCAGUCAUUUUCUAGAAACUUUCUCAAUGUACUGAACACCUGAUUUUCAUUUUUGAUGUCCUGAAGAAUCAACAUACUUGAUGAGAUGCUACCAGUAUGGUGAUGCCCCUAAAAGUUUUGUCUCUAAACUGGUUUUAAGUCCCAUGAAAACUUAUUUGAUUAAAUGCUAUCAUUAUAGUGUCCCCAAAGAUUCAGUACCUUCAACUAAUUUCAAAUUUCUGUGCAGCUUUAUUUUCAUUUUGGCAACAUUUCACUGCAUAAAAUCACUCUCAUUUUUCAUACAGUAAGCAAAACCACUAGUCAUAUAAUGAUAAAGGUCACCUUUGAUCUCCUACAAGAAAAAAAAUGGUUUGACUUGAUAUGAAUGUGUGCUUUAUCUUAGCUGUAGUCAUUUGAAAAAUCAGCACCACAUUCAUUUUUGCUUCCUCUACCACCACCUAGAGGUGCAGAAUAAAUUUUUCAGUUCUAUCUGUCUUAAUUGUCA